GACGAACGCUGGCGGCGUGCUUAACACAUGCAAGUCGAACGGAAAGGCCCUGCUUUUGUGGGGUGCUCGAGUGGCGAACGGGUGAGUAACACGUGAGUAACCUGCCCUUGACUUUGGGAUAACUUCAGGAAACUGGGGCUAAUACCGGAUAGGAGCUCCUGCUGCAUGGUGGGGGUUGGAAAGUUUCGGCGGUUGGGGAUGGACUCGCGGCUUAUCAGCUUGUUGGUGGGGUAGUGGCUUACCAAGGCUUUGACGGGUAGCCGGCCUGAGAGGGUGACCGGCCACCUUGGGACUGCGAUACGGCCCAGCCUCCUACGGGCGGCAGCAGUGGGGAAUAUUGCACAAUGGGCGGAAGCCUGAUGCAGCAACGCCGCGUGCGGGAUGCCGGCCUUCGGGUUGUAAACCGCUUUCGCCUGUGCCGAAGCGUGAGUGACGGUAAUGGGUAAAGAAGCACCGGCUAACUACGUG
RNAcentral lists this ribosomal RNA (468 nucleotides) under uncultured bacterium. RNAcentral describes it as "partial 16S ribosomal RNA". It matches the Rfam family "Bacterial small subunit ribosomal RNA", at positions 28 to 507 of the family's 1533-position model. The record is from RNAcentral.